Molecule: long non-coding RNA, 1981 nt
Organism: Oncorhynchus gorbuscha (pink salmon)
Lineage: Eukaryota; Metazoa; Chordata; Actinopteri; Salmoniformes; Salmonidae
Exons: 3
Source: RefSeq, a predicted model, not a curated record
GUUUAAUUUCACUCUCACUUUUGUCAGGCACAAAGUCACAGAACACAGCCCUGGAAGUGGCUGGCAAGCAAGGAAGACACAGACUGACCAAGAGAUGCACUGCCCAGCUAGUGACCAGAAGGAUAGUUCCGCUUCAUCCUCUCAUCGAAGUUGUAAACAUUGGCACCCGCUUUGACACGAGGGGGAGGCGGGGCCUUUGCGUAAUUUGUGGGGCCCUACGCAACUGGCGUUGUGAGCGGAUUGGGCCGCCCGGCUCUGGCGGUAACUGAUAAUAAGCCUGGAGUGGGUCAAAGGUGAGUCCCAUUUCAGAUUCUGAUACUGCAUCUUGGACAGGCUUGUAGAAGACAGCAUCACAACACAAUGCAGUGAACUAAACCUGAGGAGAGAAUACAGUCAGACAGAGGUAGGCGAUAGAUGGGGAAUACCAAGGUGAACCCUUUGGAUAUUGGAUAAGCCGGUCUUCAAAGAGUACAAAAUUAUGUUAGGGAUCCACCUGUCAGCUCGUGAUUCCUCUGCUUAAUCUCCCAUAAUCCCGCAAACACUUGUGUUUGUUCUAGCAAAUGAGCCAGCAUUGGAAAAUGAAGGAGGUUGAAGGAGAGAGAACAUAUUUACAUCCGCCGCAGGAUCCCUUUCUCAUUAGAGGCAUUAACUAAGCCAGCCAUGCGUAUAAUAUUGAAAUGAUGCUACCUUUUUGAAGAGGCAUUCACUUCUCCUGGUUUUAUAUUAAAACGAGUCAUAUCCAUACAUUCAAAAUGCUAAUAUUUGCCAUUUGAAGUCAUUGAAGUUUCCAUAGUCGAGAAAUACUCUGUGUCAGUUUAGCAACUUCCUUUCUGAGGUUAGGCUAAUGAAUUCCAGUAACCAGCUGUUGUGUCAGGAUGACUCCACAAAUACCGCUCAGAAGUUUUAAUGAACAGAUUGUUGUGAAUAACUUGGUGUGUAAGAUCAUGCAGGUCACAGUCAUGGUUUGUGUCAAUGUGCAGAGGCCCAGACUCUAGAGAAUGUUGUUUGGCAGCCAACAGACUUUUGCGUUGCAAAUCAGCGUCAGCUAAGGUUGUUAUAAGGUUGUGGUACGGUUGAAAUAAGGUUGUGGUACGGUUGAAAUAAGGUUGUGGUAAGGUUGUUAUAAGGUUGGGGUAAGGUUGCUGUAGCUUACUGCAUAUCAACGGGUGCUACAUACUCUAACUCCUUAUCAGUCGUUAUCAGAGACAAAUGUACAGUGUUCUAUAGAAGCUGGAACACUUAGUUGGCAGAAUGCACAUUAUCAUUGCAUGGGAAUGUAGAUUGUAGAUUGGUUCAUUGUUCACUGCAUAACUUCAUAUCUGGAAAUUGGCCAAUGGGCUUGCAGUACAUUAUGGAAUCUGGGACAGACCCAAAUGGAUUUAAAAAAAGAAACCCUUUAGGAGAAAACAGUGAUAGAAAAGUUCAAAAAUAGCAAACAUUUUCAAUUGGGAGUAUUGUUGAGUUUGCUGAAUUUCCCUCUAGAAUCUCUAUCUUCAGAAAACCUUCUUUAAUUUUAUCAGGAAAUCAACAGCUUCAACCAAUGUUCCAUCUGCCAAAUAUUUCUCUAUAGUUGAGUGCACUCAAACAAAACAACAUCUUCGCCAAUAAUUUGGACUGAAUAAUAUGAAAUAUUAUUGUUGUUUCUUCAUUAAGGACUAUUUCCAAAAUUGUAGUUGGAUUUAGAAUAAAACAUAUCUAUUUGGCAGCCAGUAUGUCUCUAUAUCUAGCAUGGAAGGGGAGGGAGAGUGCACGUUUGUUUGCUCCAGGCCUUAGAGACAGUAGUGUCUCUUCUUAAUUGGACUUUCUCAGCAUGUGGCUUGUGUCUUAUCCGCUAUAAGAUAACAUUCAAUUAGCUGGUCAAUUUAAUUUUACCCCUAGUUUUAAAGGUAAUUAUCUGCUAUUCCACACAUUCUGCCAUGAGGCUGAGAGAACAUUUAGCUGUUUUAAAACUAAUUUCCUGCAAUUCUACACAUUUUGCCAU